This 125-nucleotide ribosomal RNA is filed under the name Pteropus alecto (black flying fox). The record is from RNAcentral. Lineage: Eukaryota; Metazoa; Chordata; Mammalia; Chiroptera; Pteropodidae.
GUCUAUGGCUGUGCCACCCUGGGCAACCCCGAUGUCUGAUCUCGGAAGUUAAGCAGGGUGGGUCUGGUUAGGAGACCCACCUACUUGGAUAGGAGACCACCUAGGAAGACCAGGUGCUGUAGGCA